AACGAACGCUGGCGGCAGGCCUAACACAUGCAAGUCGAGCGCCCCGCAAGGGGAGCGGCGGACGGGUGAGUAACGCGUGGGAACGUACCUUUUGCUUCGGAAUAGCCUCGGGAAACUGGGAGUAAUACCGAAUGUGCCCUAUGGGGGAAAGAUUUAUCGGCAAAAGAUCGGCCCGCGUUGGAUUAGGUAGUUGGUGGGGUAAUGGCCUACCAAGCCGACGAUCCAUAGCUGGUUUGAGAGGAUGAUCAGCCACACUGGGACUGAGACACGGCCCAGACUCCUACGGGAGGCAGCAGUGGGGAAUCUUAGACAAUGGGCGCAAGCCUGAUCUAGCCAUGCCGCGUGAGCGAUGAGGGCCUUAGGGUUGUAAAGCUCUUUCGUGGGGGAAGAUAAUGACUGUACCCCAAGAAGAAGCCCCGGCUAACUCCGUGCCAGCAGCCGCCGUAA
Molecule: ribosomal RNA, 447 nt
Filed under: uncultured bacterium
Lineage: Bacteria
Description: partial 16S ribosomal RNA
Rfam family: Bacterial small subunit ribosomal RNA
Source: RNAcentral